UGGGUUUUGGCUCAGUGGUAGAGCACUUGCCUAGCAUGCACAAAGCCCUGGGUUCGAUCCUCAGCACCACAU
RNAcentral lists this transfer RNA (72 nucleotides) under Urocitellus parryii (Arctic ground squirrel). Its description in RNAcentral is "Spermophilus parryii (Arctic ground squirrel) tRNA". It matches the Rfam family "tRNA". Rfam says of the family: Transfer RNA (tRNA) molecules are approximately 80 nucleotides in length. Their secondary structure includes four short double-helical elements and three loops (D, anti-codon, and T loops). The record is from Rfam by way of RNAcentral. Lineage: Eukaryota; Metazoa; Chordata; Mammalia; Rodentia; Sciuridae. RNAcentral also lists the same sequence under 1 other name.